This 458-nucleotide ribosomal RNA is filed under the name uncultured bacterium. RNAcentral describes it as "partial 16S ribosomal RNA". It matches the Rfam family "Bacterial small subunit ribosomal RNA", at positions 338 to 795 of the family's 1533-position model. The record is from RNAcentral.
CCUACGGGUGGCAGCAGUGGGGAAUAUUGCACAAUGGGGGAAACCCUGAUGCAGCGACGCCGCGUGAGUGAAGAAGUAUUUAGGUAUGUAAAGCUCUAUUAGCAGGGAAGAAAUAGCGACCUUUGGGUCGCCAGACGGUACCUGCCUAAGAAGCCCCGGCUAACUACGUGACAGCAGCCGCGGUAAUACGUAGGGGGCAAGCGUUAUCCGGAUUUACUGGGUGUAAAGGGAGCGUAGACGGCAGCACAAGUCUGAAGUGAAAUGCCGGGGCUUAACCCCGGAACUGCUUUGGAAACUGUGCAGCUAGAGUGCAGGAGAGGUAAGUGGAAUUCCUAGUGUAGCGGUGAAAUGCGUAGAUAUUAGGAGGAACAUCAGGGGCGAAGGCGACUUACUGGACUGUAACUGACACUGAGGCACGAAAGCGUGGGGAGCGAACAGGAUUAGAUACCCUUGUAGUC